ACGCUAGCGGUUCCGGUUCGGCUCCUGCCGCCCCUUCACUCCUCACCUCCCCCUUCUCUCUGGCGCCUCUCCUGCCUCCCGCUCCUGGGAAAGAGAGAAGUCACCGCUGCGGUUGGGUUAGAGGAGCACUCAGCGCCUUCGGGAGGGGGCUGCGCCCGCCGCACCAGAGCCUUGGAGAAAGACAGGAUCAGGAGGACAGUUGUGAGGCCAGUUCACUUUUGACUCAAUGGGACUGAAUGGGUGAGUAAGUGAGUGGGCAAGCAGGGUCCUUGGUAAGGGUGGUAGAUGGGAGAGAACUCAGGCUUUGGACUCCUGGCUAGAUUGGCUGAGUGAUCUAGGCAAUGAUCUUAACCUCUCUAGAAAGGAAUAAUUGUCUUCUAAGGUAUAUAAGUCUAGGUUAACUCUAC
This 407-nucleotide long non-coding RNA is filed under the name Dasypus novemcinctus (nine-banded armadillo). RNAcentral describes it as "lncRNA (ENSDNOG00000051489.1)". Lineage: Eukaryota; Metazoa; Chordata; Mammalia; Cingulata; Dasypodidae. The record is from RNAcentral.